Long non-coding RNA from Mus spicilegus (steppe mouse), 963 nucleotides. The record is from Ensembl. Lineage: Eukaryota; Metazoa; Chordata; Mammalia; Rodentia; Muridae.
CUUGCAUAAGCUUUAGAUCCCAUAAAUUCUCAAACCACGGUACCCUCCAUGAUUUCCAGUUAGCUAUUACCACAUUGUAGAAUUCGGUCCUGCUUUGGGAGAAUAGUAAGGAGAACGAAUAAAAUACAUUGUUUCAAUUCACUGGCAGCAAGGAAGAAACCGGUAUUUAUUUGCAUAAGGAAAGCAAAGAGGAAAAGAAAAUUGGAGGUCACCCCUUUCACUGGGUGUGGGCCAAUGAACUUCAGGUAUAGAUAACACACACAGAUGGCUCAUCCUGGAAACUUUCCCAAAGACUCAUCAAUUUUCCAAGGAAAUAUCACAAAGUGUGCAGGCCAAGAUUCCCCAGAAUUCAUCUCCAAAUCCUGACCUCGCUGUUUCCACAAAUCCCAGGCUGGUGCUGGAAGAAGCUGUCAGUGGGAUGGGGCCACUCACAUCAUGGAGCACUCAUGGAGCACUGUUGCUGCACUCACCCUUCAAGGAACCUGGAUGCUCCUCACUGUAGCCUGUCUACCUGCAGAGUAGCUGUGGUCCCUUUGUCUGGGCAUGAAGAAGAGGCAGAGACAUUGCAUCCUGUCUACAUCCAGAUGUGUCAUGGUACAUAGCAGCAUAGAAAGGGAGAGUGACUCCCUUCAUGGCAAAAUGGGAUGUUCCCAUAAUUCCCCUGGAGAUCUGGAGGCAGAAAGAUGUCAGCGAUUAAUUCUAUUAUGUGGUUGAUACAGUUAGUCAACUUAUGUAAAAGGACCCAUACUUGUGACUCAGUUUUUUCCCUCUUUCUGAUGGUUCCAGUCUCUUAGAUUUGUACAUUAUCUGCGACGGAUCUAUCAUUUAUCUAGAGAAUACCCUUGUCAUUCACUGCAUUUAAUUAGCUUAUGGAUUCUAAAUUAUCUGCUACCAUAAAAUGUGAUUUUUAUACUGCAGAUUACAAAGGUUUUCAGAAAUUUAAUAUGCCACUUUUAAUUGGUG